ACAUACGACCAUAGCCAUAAGAGAAUUCGGGAUCCCGUCCGCUCUCCCAUAGACAAGCUUAUGAGCGGCAGAUUAGUAGUUGGGUCGGUGACGACCAGCGAACACCGGCUGUUGUAUGUU
This is a ribosomal RNA of Purpureocillium lilacinum, 120 nucleotides long. The record is from Rfam. NCBI's taxonomy places the organism in Eukaryota, Fungi, Ascomycota, Sordariomycetes, Hypocreales, Ophiocordycipitaceae.